GACGAACGCUGGCGGCGUGCUUAACACAUGCAAGUCGAACGGAAAGGCCCUGCUUUUGUGGGGUGCUCGAGUGGCGAACGGGUGAGUAACACGUGAGUAACCUGCCCUAGACUUUGGGAUAACUUCAGGAAACUGGGGCUAAUACCGGAUAGGAGCUCCUGCUGCAUGGUGGGGGUUGGAAAGUUUCGGCGGUUGGGGAUGGACUCGCGGCUUAUCAGCUUGUUGGUGGGGUAGUGGCUUAACAAGGCUUUGACGGGUAGCCGGCCUGAGAGGGUGACCGGCCACAUUGGGACUGAGAUACGGCCCAGACUCCUACGGGAGGCAGCAGUGGGGAAUAUUGCACAAUGGGCGGAAGCCUGAUGCAGCAACACCGCGUGCGGGAUGACGGCCUUCGGGUUGUAAACCGCUUUCGCCUGUGACGAAGCGUGAGUGACGGUAAUGGGUAAAGAAGCACCGGCUAACUACGUG
Molecule: ribosomal RNA, 468 nt
Filed under: uncultured bacterium
Lineage: Bacteria
Description: partial 16S ribosomal RNA
Rfam family: Bacterial small subunit ribosomal RNA
Source: RNAcentral